CUAAGAAUAUUCCGCAAUGGCCGAAAGUCUGACGGAGCGACGCCGCGUGGAUGAUGAAGGCCGAAAGGUUGUAAAGUCCUUUUGCUGGGGAAGAAUAACCAUGGGAGGUAAUGCCCGUGGGAUGACAUGAACCGGCGAAUAAGCCCCGGCUAACUACGUGCCAGCAGCCGCGGUAACACGUAGGGGGCGAGCGUUGUUCGGAAUUACUGGGCGUAAAGGGCAUGUAGGCGGCUUGGUAAGCCUGGCGUGAAAGUCACCGGCUCAACCGGUGGAUUGCGUUGGGUACUGCUGAGCUUGAAUCACGGAGAGGGAGCUAGAAUUCCAGGUGUAGGGGUGAAAUCUGUAGAGAUCUGGAAGAAUACCAGUGGCGAAGGCGAGCUCCUGGCCGAUGAUUGACGCUGAGGUGCGAAAGUGUGGGGAUCAAACAG
Molecule: ribosomal RNA, 428 nt
Filed under: uncultured bacterium
Lineage: Bacteria
Description: bacterial SSU rRNA
Rfam family: Bacterial small subunit ribosomal RNA
Source: RNAcentral